UUUUCCGGUUGAUCCUGCCGGACCCCACUGCUAUCGGGAUGGGACUAAGACAUGCUAGUCGAGCGUUCUUUAGCCAUGAUGCAAACGCGGCGCACAGCUCAGUAACACGUGGCUAACCUGCCCUUGGGACAAAGAUAACCCCGGGAAACUGGGGCUAAUAUUCGAUAGGUGAAGAAGUCUGGAAUGAUUCCUCGCCUAAAGGGUGCGUAGGUCAUGCUUCUGUAUGCUGCCCGAGGAUGGGGCCGCGUCCGAUCAGGUAGUUGGUGAGGUAAUGGCUCAUCAAGCCUAUAACCGGUGCGGGCCGUGAGAGCGGGAGCCCGGAGAUGGGCACUGAGACAAGGACCCAGGCCCUACGGGGCGCAGCAGUCGCGAAAACUCUGCAAUACACGAAAGUGUGACGAGGUUAUCCCGAGUGCCGUCCGCUGAGGAUGGCUUUUAUCCGGUGUAAUGUAGCCUGGGGGAAUAAGGAGAGGGCAAGUCUGGUGUCAGCCGCCGCGGUAAUACCAGCUCUCCGAGUGGUGGGGAUGUUUAUUGGGCCUAAAGCAUCCGUAGCCGGCUCAGUAAGUCCUUUGUUAAAUCCACCGAUUUAAUCGUUGGAAUGCGGGGGAUACUGCUGGGCUAGGGGACGGGAGAGGUCGACGGUAUUUCUGGGGUAGGGGUGAAAUCCUAUAAUCCCAGGAGGACCACCAGUGGCGAAGGCGUUCGGCUAGAACGCGCCCGACGGUGAGGGAUGAAAGCUGGGGGAGCGAUCCGGAUUAGAUACCCGGGUAGUCCCAGCUGUAAACGAUGCAGGCUAGGUGUUGGGGCGGCUACGAGCCGCUCUAGUGCCGCAGGGAAGCUGUUAAGCCUGCCGCCUGGGGAGUACGGUCGCAAGGCUGAAACUUAAAGGAAUUGGCGGGGGAGCACCACAAGGGGUGAAGCUUGCGGUUCAAUUGGAUUCAACGCCGGGAAUCACUAGU
Molecule: ribosomal RNA, 959 nt
Filed under: uncultured archaeon
Lineage: Archaea
Description: bacterial SSU rRNA
Rfam family: Archaeal small subunit ribosomal RNA
Source: RNAcentral